This 653-nucleotide ribosomal RNA is filed under the name Pseudovibrio sp. AU400_Ted1_MB20. RNAcentral describes it as "bacterial SSU rRNA". It matches the Rfam family "Bacterial small subunit ribosomal RNA", at positions 66 to 765 of the family's 1533-position model. Lineage: Bacteria; Pseudomonadati; Pseudomonadota; Alphaproteobacteria; Hyphomicrobiales; Stappiaceae. The record is from RNAcentral.
ACGGAUCCUUCGGGAUUAGUGGCAGACGGGUGAGUAACGCGUGGGAAGCUACCUUGUGGUAGGGGACAACAGUUGGAAACGACUGCUAAUACCCUAUGAGCCCUAUGGGGGAAAGAUUUAUCGCCAUGAGAUGUGCCCGCGUUAGAUUAGCUAGUUGGUAAGGUAAUGGCUUACCAAGGCGACGAUCUAUAGCUGGUCUGAGAGGAUGAUCAGCCACACUGGGACUGAGACACGGCCCAGACUCCUACGGGAGGCAGCAGUGGGGAAUAUUGGACAAUGGGGGCAACCCUGAUCCAGCCAUGCCGCGUGUGUGAUGACGGCCUUAGGGUUGUAAAGCACUUUCAGCAGUGAAGAUAAUGACAUUAACUGCAGAAGAAGCCCCGGCUAACUUCGUGCCAGCAGCCGCGGUAAUACGAAGGGGGCUAGCGUUGUUCGGAAUCACUGGGCGUAAAGAGUACGUAGGCGGACUGAUAAGUUAGGGGUGAAAUCCCAAGGCUCAACCUUGGAACUGCCUUUGAUACUGUCAGUCUUGAGAUCGAGAGAGGUGAGUGGAACUCCGAGUGUAGAGGUGAAAUUCGUAGAUAUUCGGAAGAACACCAGUGGCGAAGGCGGCUCACUGGCUCGAUACUGACGCUGAGGUACGAAAGCGUGGG